This 253-nucleotide ribosomal RNA is filed under the name uncultured bacterium. Its description in RNAcentral is "partial 16S ribosomal RNA". It matches the Rfam family "Bacterial small subunit ribosomal RNA", at positions 524 to 776 of the family's 1533-position model. The record is from RNAcentral.
UACGUAGGGUGCGAGCGUUAAUCGGAAUUACUGGGCGUAAAGCGUGCGCAGGCGGUUUUGUAAGCCAGAUGUGAAAUCCCCGGGCUUAACCUGGGAAUGGCAUUUGGGACUGCAAGGCUUGAGUGCGGCAGAGGAGACUGGAAUUCCUGGUGUAGCAGUGAAAUGCGUAGAUAUCAGGAGGAAUACCGAUGGCGACGGCAGGUCUCUGGGCUGACACUGACGCUCAUGCACGAAAGCGUGGGGAGCAAACAGG